RNAcentral lists this unclassified non-coding RNA (268 nucleotides) under Hevea brasiliensis (rubber tree). Lineage: Eukaryota; Viridiplantae; Streptophyta; Magnoliopsida; Malpighiales; Euphorbiaceae. The record is from RNAcentral.
GGGGAGCAUGAAGCAGACGGGGGUGAGCCUGCGCUACAUGAUGGAGUUCGGGUCGCGCCCCACGGAGCGGAACCUGCUGCUCUCCGCGCAGUUCCUGCAGAAGGAGCUCCCAAUCCGGAUCGCGCGCCGCGCGCUCGAGCUCGAGUCCCUCCCCUUCGGCCUCUCCCGCAAGCCCGCCAUCCUCAAGGUGCGGGAUUGGUACUUGGACUCUUUCCGCGACAUCAGAUACUUUCCAGAAGUGAGGAAUAGGAACGACGAGCUCGCUUUU